RNAcentral lists this ribosomal RNA (253 nucleotides) under uncultured bacterium. Its description in RNAcentral is "partial 16S ribosomal RNA". It matches the Rfam family "Bacterial small subunit ribosomal RNA", at positions 524 to 776 of the family's 1533-position model. The record is from RNAcentral.
UACAGAGGUCCCAAGCGUUGUUCGGAUUCACUGGGCGUAAAGGGUGCGCAGGUGGGUUUGCAAGUUCGAUGUGAAAGCCCCGGGCUUAACCCGGGAAUGGCAUUGGAUACUGCAGAUCUGGAGGAUUGGAGGGGGGACUGGAAUUCUUGGUGUAGCAGUGAAAUGCGUAGAUAUCAAGAGGAACACCAGUGGCGAAGGCGAGUCCCUGGACAAUUCCUGACACUGAGGCACGAAAGCUAGGGGAGCAAACAGG